GAUGAACGCUGGCGGCGUGCCUAAUACAUGCAAGUCGAGCGAACAGAUGAGGAGCUUGCUCCUCUGACGUUAGCGGCAGACGGGUGAGUAACACGUGGAUAACCUACCUAUAAGACUGGGAUAACUUCGGGAAACCGGAGCUAAUACCGGAUAAUAUAUUGAACCGCAUGGUUCAAUAGUGAAAGACGGUUUUGCUGUCACUUAUAGAUGGAUCCGCGCCGCAUUAGCUAGUUGGUAAGGUAACGGCUUACCAAGGCAACGAUGCGUAGCCGACCUGAGAGGGUGAUCGGCCACACUGGAACUGAGACACGGUCCAGACUCCUACGGGAGGCAGCAGUAGGGAAUCUUCCGCAAUGGGCGAAAGCUUGACGGAGCAACGCCGCGUGAGUGAUGAAGGUCUUCGGAUCGUAAAACUCUGUUAUUAGUGAAGAACAAAUGUGUAAGUAACUAUGCACGUCUUGACGGUACCUAAUCAGAAAGCCACGGCUAACUACGUG
Molecule: ribosomal RNA, 497 nt
Filed under: uncultured bacterium
Lineage: Bacteria
Description: partial 16S ribosomal RNA
Rfam family: Bacterial small subunit ribosomal RNA
Source: RNAcentral